This is a long non-coding RNA of Lucilia cuprina (Australian sheep blowfly), 2810 nucleotides long. RefSeq lists it as uncharacterized. The transcript has 2 exons. Lineage: Eukaryota; Metazoa; Arthropoda; Insecta; Diptera; Calliphoridae. The record is from RefSeq and is a predicted model, not a curated record.
UUUUAUUCCAUUUCGUUCCAUUUCUUCAUACUUAUACCAAAUAUAAGUAUUUUGUUUAAACUAAUAUAGAUACAUACAUUAAAGAAAAUGGCCGAAAAUAGAAAAAUUUUUAAAACAGUUUUUAAUAUAAAGAAAUUUAAUUAUUUUGUUAAUUCUAUUCUAAUAAACCAUAAAAAGAUGUUAACUGAAUUGAUCGAUGUUGGAAUAUUGGGAGAAAGCAAUAUAAAAAAUGAUAGGUAUUUUAUUUCCAAUUCUGCAUUCAAAGGGAUAAAGAUUCGAAAAGUUAUCACAAUAUUGAUAUAGGGCUGAAGUAGAUUUGCUUCAUUCUUGCAACUAAAGUGAGCAAAUCGCUAAUAUAUUCCAUAAUAAAACACCAUAGCGGCAAAAAAUUGGGAGGACGUGCUUAUAAUUUUAAAGCAAUUAUCCACCUGAUUUUAUGCGAAAGAAACUUUGAACAUCUGGUUAUGGUUAGAUGUGCUCAUAAAUUACAUAUUUACAUAUUACGUAUGUUCCCGAACUUGUCACUAUUCAAUGUUUAUACAUAAUCAAAAAGAAAAAAGUGCUUUGAAAUUUAAAUGUGGACCAAUCCUGGUUAGUACAGGAACAUACAUAUAUGUACAUACAUAACCCGUUAUUGUUAAAUUGCAGUUUCACUUAGAGUAGUACUGGCCAUUAAUUCUACGUAAGUAAUUUUAAAAGCAGAAACGUAUACUUUUUUGCGACAUCAGCAAUUUGCUUUAAAACGUUCAAAAGCACUUUUUGCGAAUUCUUGCUAUUUAGAGAUUAUUUUAACAGCUUUAGAAUUAAAAAAAAUCAAUUUCCGAAAAUCUUUAUGAAAACAAAGAAGCCUUUUUUGAAAAAUUUUUCAAUGUAACUUAGAGCUUUUUGCAUUUCAUAUGACGAUGUGGUAAUACCUCUAUUAUGGUUUACAACAUAACCAUUUUGGUGUUGUAUGUCGUCACCUGAAAUCUAAAAAGGCGUAAUAAUCAAAAAAUUUAAAAUCUACUUUUUGGUUGAGAAUGGUCCACUGCAUCAAAAUAUAUGUUUCAAAUUUUUAGAACUCUCUUCAAAAACACCGACUUUAUUGGAAUUAAAUUCAAAAAGGCGUAACCACAAAUUUGAAAGAAAGUCCUAAAAAGCAAUUUACAUAUCGUCACCUGAAAUGCAGAAGGGCGUAAAAACACUUAAAAAUUUUACAGUCGAGACAAAAAAGUAAAUAAAAUUAAAGUUAUUUUUGUUAUAAAAACGAUAUUUUCUUACAAGUAUUGUAUCCCAACAUCGAUAAACGCCUUUGAAUAUAACAGUACCGCCAGACAUAGUCUAAUAUGUUGCUUUUUAACUCGUUCUGGGGUGUGGAAAUGACUAAUUUGUUGUUACGCCCUUUUGAAUUUCACUUCAAUAAAGUCGAUAUUUUUGACAUUAGGAUUCUAAAAGUUUGCAACAACAUGUAUUAUGAUAAAGUGGGCCAUUUCAAUCAAUAAAUCGAUUUUAAAUUAUUUGGUUGCUACGCCUUUUUGCAUUUCAGAUGAUGAUAUGUAAUAGACAAUGUAUGGUGAUACAGUUGUAUUCAAACAUGUUUAUCGAUGUUGGUAUAUAACACUUGGAAGAAAAUAUCGUUUAGUAACAACAAUAGCUUUCAUUUUAUUUAGUUUUUUGUCUAUCCUGUAAAAAUUUUAAGUGUUGUUACGCCCUUUUUCAUUUCAGAUGACAAUAUUUAAAAUUUACAACACUUACUUUAAGUGUUGUCAUUUCAGUUGUCGCUGUAAUUUCUCUGCAAUUACCCUUUACAAGAUGUAAUUUUAACUGUUAAAAACAGAAUUUAAUUGUAUCUGCAUAUCGUCACCUGAAAUGUAAAAAGGCGUAAAAACACUUCAAAGUUUUAUAGGAGAGACAAAGAACUUAAUAAAAUUAAUACUUUUUUUGAUAUAAAAAUGUAAUUAUGUGCAAACAUCAACAAAAACUUUUUUGUCUAAUAUGUUGCUUUUUAGCUCUUUCUGGGGUGUGGAAAUGAGAGGAUUUGUUGUUACGCCCUUUUGAAUUUUAUGUUAAUAAAGUCGGUGUUUUUGACAAUAGAGUCCUAAAAAAUUUGCAACAACAUGUAUUUUGAUGCAAUGGACCAUUUUCAAUCAAAAGAUCAAUUUUUAAAUUUUUGGUUGUUAUUCCCUUUUGCAUUUCAGGUGACGAUAUAAGAUUUUAUAUGAAACGUUUAUGAAGUUACAUAUUUUACAAAAAAGUGAAUAAAAAUUUUAUGGUAUAGCUGUUAGACCUUACGAGAUUAAGUAAAUUCCAAAACUAGAUAUGUAUUGUAGCCGAGACAACAUAUUUUUUUUAUUCAAAAAUCAUAUCGUCGCCUGAAAUGCAAAAAGGCAUAACAACCAAAAAUUUUAAAUAUUCUUUUUUAUUCAAAAAUCAUAUCGUCGCCUGGAAUGCAAAAAAGGCAUAAUAACCAAAAAUUUGAAAGUCGACUUUUUGAAUUUUUCACAAGUCAGAUGUUGGAUAUAAUACAUGGAAGAAAGAGACAUUUUUAUAACAACAAUAGUUUUAAUUUUUUUUUUUAGUUUUUUGCCUCUCCUGUAAAAUUUUGUAUUAUGGGACUGUCGGAAAAAUAGUGUUUCCAAAAAAAAAAACGGGUUUCGGUUUUUUAUUUAUUUAAAAUUAAAUAAAACCAAAAAAUAUUUGAAAAUUUCUAUAUUCGAAAAUAAGUAAUUUUCAAGCAACCGUGUUCAACGAAGUUGAAAAAAUGCUAUGGGCAUUUUAAACUCUUUUUCAUUUAAAAUAAAUAAAUAAAAUAAAUAAAAAUAAAAUAAAAA